Molecule: ribosomal RNA, 423 nt
Filed under: uncultured microorganism
Description: bacterial SSU rRNA
Rfam family: Bacterial small subunit ribosomal RNA
Source: RNAcentral
GAGUUUGAUCCUGGCUCAGGAUGAACGCUGGCGGCGUGCUUAACACAUGCAAGUCGAACGAAGCGCCUUAUUUGAUUUUCUUCGGAACUGAAGAUUUGGUGACUGAGUGGCGGACGGGUGAGUAACGCGUGGGUAACCUGCCCUGUACAGGGGGAUAACAAUCAGAAAUGACUGCUAAUACCGCAUAAGACCACAGCACCGCAUGGUGCAGGGGUAAAAACUCCGGUGGUACAGGAUGGACCCGCGUCUGAUUAGCUGGUUGGUGAGGUAACGGCUCACCAAGGCGACGAUCAGUAGCCGGCUUGAGAGAGUGAACGGCCACAUUGGGACUGAGACACGGCCCGAAACUCCUACGGGAGGCAGCAGUGGGGAAUAUUGCACAAUGGGGGAAACCCUGACUGCAGCAACGCCGCGUGAGUGAAG